CCCCACCAGUGUGUGUGUGUGUGUCUGUGUGUGUGUGUCUGUUUAUGUCUGUCUCUGUGUGUGUCUGUGUGUGUCUCGGUGUGUGUCUGUGUGUAUGUCUGUCUGUGUCUGUGUGUGUCUCUGUGUGUGUCUGUGUAUGUGUCUGUCUGUGUGUGUCUGUGUGUAUGUCUGUCUGUGUCUGUGUGUGUCUCUGUGUGUGUCUGUGUAUGUGUCUGUCUGCGUGGGUCUCUGUGUGUGUCUGUGUAUGUCUGGUGUGUGUCUGUUUAUGUCUGUGUGUGUGUGUGUCUGUGUGUCUCUCUGUGUGUGUCUGUGUCUGUGUGUGUCUGUGUGUCUGUGUGUGUCUCUCUGUGUGUCUGUGUGUAUGUUUGUCUCUGUGUGUCUGUGGUCUGUGUCUGUGUGUGUCUGUGUGUCUGUGUGUGGUGUGUCUGUGUGUCUCUCUGUGUGUGUCUGUGUCUGUGUGUGUCUGUGUGUCUGUGUGUGUCUCUCUGUGUGUCUGUCUGUGUGUGUCUGUGUGUGUGUCUCAGUGCGUCUCUGUGUGUGUCUGUGUGCAUCUCUGUGUGUGUCUGUGUAUGUGUCUGUCUGUGUGUGUCUCUCUGUGUGUCUGUCUGUGUGUGUCUGUGUGUGUGUCUCUGUGUGUGUCUCUGUGUGUGUCUGUGUAUGUCUGGUGUGUGUCUAUUUAUGUCUAUCUGUGUGUGUGUCUGUGUGUGUCUGUGUGUAUGUCUGUGUGUGUCUGUUUAUGUCUGUCUGUGUGUGUGUCUGUGUGUAUGUCUGUGUGUGUGUAUGUCUGUAUGUAUGUCUGUGUGUGUGUAUAUGUCUGUGUGUGUAUGUCUGUGUGUGUGUGUGUGUGUGUGUAUGUCUGUGUGCGUCUCUGUGUGUGUCUGUGUAUGUGUCUGUGUGUGUCUGUUUAUGUCUGUCUGUGUGAGUGUCUGUGUGUGUGUGUGAAUUCUCCCAGGGCCACUCCAGACCAUCAAAAAGACACUCAUACCUCGCGAAAGGUCAACUUCUAAAUUGGUCAGAGCAAGUCUAGCCAGACUGAAUGCCCCGGGGAAGAGCC
RNAcentral lists this long non-coding RNA (1054 nucleotides) under Bos mutus (wild yak). RNAcentral's name for it is "lncRNA (ENSBMUG00000004280.1)". Lineage: Eukaryota; Metazoa; Chordata; Mammalia; Artiodactyla; Bovidae. The record is from RNAcentral.